RNAcentral lists this ribosomal RNA (436 nucleotides) under uncultured bacterium. RNAcentral's name for it is "bacterial SSU rRNA". It matches the Rfam family "Bacterial small subunit ribosomal RNA", at positions 954 to 1392 of the family's 1533-position model. The record is from RNAcentral.
GCAGAACGCGAAGAACCUUACCAGGGCUUGAAUGCAUUAUGACAGGGGUGGAGACACCUUUUCCUUCGGGCAUUUUGCAAGGUGCUGCAUGGUUGUCGUCAGCUCGUGCCGUGAGGUGUCAGGUUAAGUCCUAUAACGAGCGCAACCCCUACCGUUAGUUGCCAGCGGGUCAUGCCGGGGACUCUAGCGGGACUGCCGGUGCAAACCGUGAGGAAGGUGGGGAUGACGUCAAAUCAUCACGGCCCUUACGUCCUGGGCCACACACGUGCUACAAUGGCCGGUACAGAGAGCGGCCACGCCGCAAGGCGGAGCGAAUCUACAAAACCGGUCACAGUUCGGAUCGGGGUCUGCAACCCGACCCCGUGAAGCUGGAAUCGCUAGUAAUCGGAUAUCAGCCAUGAUCCGGUGAAUACGUUCCCGGGUCUUGUACACACCG